Molecule: ribosomal RNA, 54 nt
Filed under: Succiniclasticum ruminis
Lineage: Bacteria; Bacillati; Bacillota; Negativicutes; Acidaminococcales; Acidaminococcaceae
Source: RNAcentral
CGCGUCGAAAGUACUGGGCUGGAAGCGGCCUGGGAGGAUAGAUUGUUGCCGGUC